RNAcentral lists this ribosomal RNA (253 nucleotides) under uncultured bacterium. Its description in RNAcentral is "partial 16S ribosomal RNA". It matches the Rfam family "Bacterial small subunit ribosomal RNA", at positions 524 to 776 of the family's 1533-position model. The record is from RNAcentral.
GACGGAGGGUGCAAGCGUUGCUCGGAAUCACUGGGCGUAAAGGGUGCGUAGGCGGUCUCGCAAGUCUGGCGUGAAAGCCCAAGGCUCAGCCUUGGAAGUGCGCUCGAAACGGCGAGGCUGGAGUGCCGGAGGGGAGAGUGGAAUUCUCGGUGUAGCAGUGAAAUGCGUAGAUAUCGAGAGGAACACCAGUGGCGAAGGCGAGUCCCUGGACAACACCUGACACUGAGGCACGAAAGCUAGGGGAGCAAACAGG